AUGGCUCUGGUCUGCAGGCCGUGGUGGCGCCCACAACUUUCCUGUGCAGCAUCGGGAACGCUUUCAACUCCCACACAGCCCGUUUGCCUGAGCGUCGCCCUGACCCGGAAAACGCAAGAGCGUGUCGGACAGCCAAUGGAAAUGAAGGCGAGUUACCCCGGAAGGAAGGUGUGCAGGGAAUUGGCAGUGUUGUGCCCAGAGCCACAGGUGCCUCCUCCAAAAGGCUUUUUCAACCAUGGCGAACAACCGACUUUUUCACUCCGUCUGAGGGUCUUCUUGGUCAACGUGGUGCAAAAAGGCUGCGUUAGCAACAGAUUGAGAUUCCUGUAUUUGGCAACCUUCUUCCGAGAAACAUUAUUAUCAUUUUGGUCCAAAUCACACUGCUGGUUGGUGUCAGUGUCGUCUGUAGGUGAGCUGAUGACAGCAAUCCCCCUCCCGACCUCUCCUGACUAUAGAGAAGAGGGGACAGCCUGCGUGGUCUCCGUGCUGGUGAAGAAGCUUGCCAGCACCCCAGGCCCUCUGUGCACACUUUCUUUUGUUUUUAAUGUUUAUUUAUUUUUGAGAGAGACAGAACAUGAGCGGAGGAGGGGCAGAGAGAGAGAGGGAGACACAGAAUCGGAAGCAGGCUCCAGGCCCCGAGCUGGCAGCACAGAGCCCGACGUGGGACUCAAACUCACAGACCGCGAGAUAGUGACCUGA
RNAcentral lists this long non-coding RNA (699 nucleotides) under Felis catus (domestic cat). Its description in RNAcentral is "lncRNA (ENSFCAG00000052905.1)". The record is from RNAcentral. Lineage: Eukaryota; Metazoa; Chordata; Mammalia; Carnivora; Felidae.